This 468-nucleotide ribosomal RNA is filed under the name uncultured bacterium. RNAcentral describes it as "partial 16S ribosomal RNA". It matches the Rfam family "Bacterial small subunit ribosomal RNA", at positions 28 to 507 of the family's 1533-position model. The record is from RNAcentral.
GACGAACGCUGGCGGCGUGCUUAACACAUGCCAGUCGAACGAUGAUGCCAGCUUGCUGGUGGAUUAGUGGCGAACGGGUGAGUAACACGUGAGCAACCUGCCCCUGACUUCGGGAUAACCGCGGGAAACCGUGGCUAAUACCGGAUAUGACGCGCUAUCGCAUGGUGGUGUGUGGAAAGAUUUAUCGGUUGGGGAUGGGCUCGCGGCCUAUCAGCUUGUUGGUGGGGUGAUGGCCUACCAAGGCGACGACGGGUAGCCGGCCUGAGAGGGUGACCGGCCACACUGGGACUGAGACACGGCCCAGACUCCUACGGGAGGCAGCAGUGGGGAAGAUUGCACAAUGGGCGCAAGCCUGAUGCAGCGACGCCGCGUGAGGGAUGACGGCCUUCGGGUUGUAAACCUCUUUCAGUAGGGAAGAAGGCCUUCGGGUUGACGGUACCUGCAGAAGAAGCGCCGGCUAACUACGUG